GCUUUAGGGCUAGCCUCGGAUUAUUCUGAUGGAGGUAAAGCACUGAAUGGGCUAGGGGCCUUACCAGGUUACCGAACCCUAUCAAACUAAGAAUGCCAUAUAGAAGAUGUCCGGGAGUCAGACUGCGAGAGAUAAGUCCCGUAGUCAAAAGGGAAACAGCCCAGACCGCCAGCUAAGGUCCCGAAGUGAUGGUUAAGUGGAAAAGGAUGUGGGUUUGCUAAGACAGCUAGGAUGUUGGCUUAGAAGCAGCCACUCAUUCAAAGAGUGCGUAAUAGCUCACUAGUCGAGUGAGCCUGCGCCGAAGAUGUACGGGGCUAAACCAUCCACCGAAGCUGCGGAAUGUCCGAAAGGACGUUGGUAGGGGAGCGUAGUGCAGUAGAGAGAAGCAUGACGGGAACGACAUGUGGACGAGGCAGUAGUGAGAAUGCCGGAAUGAGUAGCGAGAGUGAAGUGAGAAUCUUUACCGUCGAAAACCCAAGGUUUCCUGGGGAAGGUUCGUCCGCCCAGGGUAAGUCGGGGCCUAAGCCGAGGCCGAGAGGCGUAGGUGAUGGACAACAGGUAGACAUUCCUGUACCAAAGGUAUACGAAUAAGAGACGCGGGGACACAGGAGGAUAAAUGGAUCCGGCAGCAGGGAAAGCCGGAGUAAGGGAGGUAGAUAGGUACGUAGUGAAGUACGCGUACCGAUUCGAAGGCCUGACGCGGAGCUCAAAUAGGAGCGAAGCCAAAGAUUCCACACUGGCGAGAAAAGCCGCUAUUGAGUAUACAUUUGCCCGUACCGCAAACCGACACAGGUAGGUGAGGAGAGAAUCCUGAGACGAGCGGGAGAAGUGUUGUUAAGGAACUCGGCAAAUUAACCCCGUAAGUUAGCGAGAAGGGGAGCCUAGAGAUAGGCCGCAGAGAAAUGGCCCAAGCAACUGUUUACCAAAAACACAGGUCUCUGCUAAAUCGAAAGAUGAAGUAUAGGGGCUGACGCCUGCCCAGUGCUGGAAGGUUAAGGGGAGCUGUUAGCGCAAGCGAAGCGGUGAACUUAAGCCCCAGUGAACGGCGGCCGUAACUAUAACGGUCCUAAGGUAGCGAAAUUCCUUGUCAGGUAAAUUCUGACCCGCACGAAUGGCGUAAUGAUUUGGGAACUGUCUCAACAAGAGACCCGGCGAAAUUGUAGUAUACGUGAAGAUGCGUAUUAACCUGCGACUGGACGGAAAGACCCCGUAGAGCUUUACUGUAGCUUGGUAUUGAAUUUCGGCAAUGAAUGUACAGGAUAGGUGGGAGACUUGGAAGCCUCGGCGUCAGCUGAGGUGGAGUCACCCUUGGGAUACCACCCUUUUAUUGCUGGGGUUCUAACGGUGUGCCGUUAUCCGGGCACCGGACAUUGCCAGGUGGGCAGUUUGACUGGGGCGGUCGCCUCCCAAAAAGUAACGGAGGCGCCCAAAGGUUCCCUCAGAAUGGUUGGAAAUCAUUCGCAGAGUGCAAAGGCAGAAGGGAGCUUGACUGCGAGACAGACAUGUCGAGCAGAUACGAAAGUAGGGCUUAGUGAUCCGGCGGUAGAGUAUGGAAUUGCCGUCGCUUAACGGAUAAAAGUUACCUCGGGGAUAACAGGCUUAUCUCCCCCAAGAGUUCACAUCGACGGGGAGGUUUGGCACCUCGAUGUCGGCUCGUCACAUCCUGGGGCUGAAGUAGGUCCCAAGGGUUCGGCUGUUCGCCGAUUAAAGUGGCACGCGAGCUGGGUUCAGAACGUCGUGAGACAGUUCGGUCCCUAUCCAUCGUGGGCGUAGGAUAUUUGAAAGGAUCUGUCCCUAGUACGAGAGGACCGGGAUGGACGUACCAAUUGUGCAUCUGUUGUCGCGCCAGCGGCACGGCAGAGUAGCGAAGUACGGACGGGAUAAACGCUGAAAGCAUCUAAGCGUGAAACCCACCUUAAGAUAAGAUAUCCCUUUCUUUAUGAAGUAAGACCCCUUGCAGACCACAAGGUUGAUAGGUCAGAGGUGUAAGUGCAGUCAAUGCAUUUAGCUGACUGAUACUAAUAGGUCGAGGGCUUGAUCAC
Molecule: ribosomal RNA, 2042 nt
Filed under: human gut metagenome
Description: bacterial LSU rRNA
Rfam family: Bacterial large subunit ribosomal RNA
Source: RNAcentral